UUGCUAGCUUCGGCAGCACAUAUACAAAAAUUGGAAUGAUACAGAGAUUAGUGUGGCCCCUGUGCAAGGAUGACACGCAAAUUUGUGAAGCGUUCCACGUUUUU
Small nuclear RNA from Balaenoptera musculus (blue whale), 104 nucleotides. NCBI's taxonomy places the organism in Eukaryota, Metazoa, Chordata, Mammalia, Artiodactyla, Balaenopteridae. The record is from Ensembl.